This is a long non-coding RNA of Hippoglossus stenolepis (Pacific halibut), 1532 nucleotides long. RefSeq lists it as uncharacterized. Lineage: Eukaryota; Metazoa; Chordata; Actinopteri; Pleuronectiformes; Pleuronectidae. The transcript has 2 exons. The record is from RefSeq and is a predicted model, not a curated record.
UGACAAACAGUCACCGCCUGUUUUAGGAAGCAGGAAGUUUUAGUUUCAGUGACCAGUCUGUUAAAACUACAUUACUGACUGGUACUCUUCACUGUGCAUCAACAACCCUUAAAGAAAUACUACUACUUCUGUGAAAUGUUGGGAUCAUGACUUAAUCAAGGUUACAACAAAAUGUUCUGUAGCGUUAUUGAUUAUCCUGCAUGAUACAAAAUACCCACGUUUCCGACACACAGUGGAGAUUCUAAAGUCUAUUGGGGCCCCAAGCAAAGAUUCCCAGGGGGCCCCUCAAACAGCGUUCGUCACAUUAUGUUAUAAAUUAUCUUACAUCAACGAAAGGUACGAAGUGUAAACAGUUGUUUAAUUAAAAUGUUUUCACUUACAUCAGUACAUUUUCUAAAAAACUAAAACAAGAACAUUCCAAACCUUCUAAUUUUCUGAAUAUAAAUAUAAACAACCUUAAAAAACAUCAAUGAAUAAACACUGUAAAUGUAACGCUAGCUUAAAUUUAAGUGUAUCUCCCAUUAGCCAAUGCUAAUGACAGCAUUCAGUUAAACUGUUAUACUUAAUUAUCUGCCUCACUUACCACGGUCGUGCUUUCUCCAGCGAGAUAUUUUACACACCAUCUUAGAAAUUAAUAAAAUCUUAUAAACGGUUGGAGAAGGUUAACAUUACAGGCUGGUUUACCAGAUCAGAAAUCUCCUAGCUAAAAAUGUUAACUAAUCUCUGGGCCGAUGAUAGCUAAUAAUAGUUAUAUUACUUCUUUCUCUAACAUUAGAUUCAAAUAAAGAACUUUUAAAAUAAACUGUUUAUGUUCAUAUUUACUUGGGUAACAACAGAUCUCGCGUUACAGGAAGCUAACGUACGGUUCUUUGAAAAAGAGAAAAAUACUCACCCAGCAUGAAGUGACUUGUUGAUGCCUGUUUUCAGCGACUGCUAACUUUAACCAUGUUGGCUAAUGGUCGUCUCUAAAUGUCACUGAAGUCAAAGGCACAGAAAAAAGAUGCAAGUCGAGUAGUUCUUCUUACACAUUUACUAGCUGGAUGCAGCUACGCUAGCUAAAGAGCUAAAUCUUUACUUGCUAAGAUUGGACUUUUGUGAAGUCAUGCUAGCAACCCUGUAGGCUAAAGCUAGCUAAGCAACUACUUGCUUCCUAAAUAAUUAAUUUGUUUUAAGGAAUUUCGGCUUCUGUUUUAAAACAAUUCUCAUUUGGGUAUCAGCCGUUAAGUUACAGAAAGCUAACGGCUAAAAAAUCUGACAUCAAAGGAUUUUUCUGUGGUGAAGCCUUAUGCUAUUGACUGAAGCUAAUAGGCUAACAUUUUUGUGUUUUUAAUUAUUUGUGGUGACUAAUGUCAAGCUAAAUGUGUCUAUACUUCUACAUUUCAUUUGCAUUUACACUAUAUUUUUGAUUUAUAUAACGCAUGUAUAUAUAUAUAUAUCUCUAAUGAAAUAUUUGUUAUGUCAUCUCUUCUGGCUUCAUUCUUACCAAAUAUUUUUUACAGCACCAGAAUUAAUAAAUAUGUUUUUAUACUGCA